RNAcentral lists this ribosomal RNA (1474 nucleotides) under metagenome. RNAcentral describes it as "bacterial SSU rRNA". It matches the Rfam family "Bacterial small subunit ribosomal RNA". The record is from RNAcentral.
AGAGUUUGAUCCUGGCUCAGGACGAACGCUGGCGGCGCGCCUAACACAUGCAAGUCGAACGAGCGAGAGAGAGCUUGCUUUCUCGAGCGAGUGGCGAACGGGUGAGUAACGCGUGAGGAACCUGCCUCAAAGAGGGGGACAACAGUUGGAAACGACUGCUAAUACCGCAUAAGCCCACGGUGCCGCAUGGCACAGAGGGAAAAGGAGCAAUCCGCUUUGAGAUGGCCUCGCGUCCGAUUAGCUAGUUGGUGAGGUAACGGCCCACCAAGGCGACGAUCGGCAGCCGGACUGAGAGGUUGAACGGCCACAUUGGGACUGAGACACGGCCCAGACUCCUACGGGAGGCAGCAGUGGGGAAUAUUGCACAAUGGGGGAAACCCUGAUGCAGCGACGCCGCGUGGAGGAAGAAGGUCUUCGGAUUGUAAACUCCUGUUGUUGAGGAAGAUAAUGACGGUACUCAACAAGGAAGUGACGGCUAACUACGUGCCAGCAGCCGCGGUAAAACGUAGGUCACAAGCGUUGUCCGGAAUUACUGGGUGUAAAGGGAGCGCAGGCGGGAAGACAAGUUGGAAGUGAAAUCCAUGGGCUCAACCCAUGAACUGCUUUCAAAACUGUUUUUCUUGAGUAGUGCAGAGGUAGGCGGAAUUCCCGGUGUAGCGGUGGAAUGCGUAGAUAUCGGGAGGAACACCAGUGGCGAAGGCGGCCUACUGGGCACCAACUGACGCUGAGGCUCGAAAGUGUGGGUAGCAGACAGGAUUAGAUACCCUGGUAGUCCACACUGUAAACGAUGAUUACUAGGUGUUGGGGGUAUCGACCCCCUCUGUGCCGCAGCAAACGCAAUAAGUAUUCCGCCUGGGGAGUACGGCCGCAAGGUUGAAACUCAAAGGAAUUGACGGGGGCCCGCACAAGCAGCGGAGCAUGUGGUUUAAUUCGACGCAACGCGAAGAACCUUACCAAGACUUGACAUCCUCUGACGCAUAUAGAGAUAUAUGUUCCCUUCGGGGCAGAGAGACAGGUGGUGCAUGGUUGUCGUCAGCUCGUGUCGUGAGAUGUUGGGUUAAGUCCCGCAACGAGCGCAACCCUUGUGAACAGUUGCCAGUAUUAAGUUAGGAACUCUGUUCAGACUGCCGUGGACAACACGGAGGAAGGUGGGGACGACGUCAAAUCAUCAUGCCCCUUACGUCUUGGGCUACACACGUGCUACAAUGGCCGUAACAGAGGGCAGCGAAAGGGCAACCUGGAGCGAAUCUCAAAAAAACGGUCUCAGUUCAGAUUGUGGGCUGCAACCCGCCCACAUGAAGACGGAGUUGCUAGUAAUCGCGGAUCAGCAUGCCGCGGUGAAUGCGUUCCCGGGCCUUGUACACACCGCCCGUCACACCAUGGGAGUUGAGAGCACCCGAAGUCGGUGACCUAACCGCAAGGAAGGAGCCGCCGAAGGUGAGAUUGAUGACUGGGGUGAAGUCGUAACAAGGUA